UGGGUGUUAGAUCCUUCCUGUAGAGGAUCCAACCAGGUUUUAUUUUCCCCAUUUAUGGGGCAUGACUCAACUUGCCUAGCGUAUCUAUUAUCGGGAGGGUUGGAGGGAAAAGUAGUUUUCCUAGGGUGGUUGGCCUGUGGCAUUUCAAUAGCAAAAGGGGACCAUCUAGCAAGCACGUAUUAGGGUUUUGCCUAGAUCGAUCGUUCGAGGGGAUAACUAUGCUUACAUGGUGAAGGACGGCUAGAUUUAUGAGCAAACCAGCAAAGGGAUAACCAAUGCACUUACAUGGCGAAG
RNAcentral lists this long non-coding RNA (294 nucleotides) under Setaria viridis. Its description in RNAcentral is "long non-coding RNA (SVIR_LNC005920)". Lineage: Eukaryota; Viridiplantae; Streptophyta; Magnoliopsida; Poales; Poaceae. The record is from RNAcentral.